This 492-nucleotide ribosomal RNA is filed under the name uncultured bacterium. Its description in RNAcentral is "partial 16S ribosomal RNA". It matches the Rfam family "Bacterial small subunit ribosomal RNA", at positions 28 to 507 of the family's 1533-position model. The record is from RNAcentral.
GACGAACGCUGGCGGCGUGCUUAACACAUGCAAGUCGAACGGAAAGGCCCCCACUUUUUUGGUGGGGGUGCUCGAGUGGCGAACGGGUGAGUAACACGUGGGUGAUCUGCCCUGUACUUCGGGAUAAGCUUGGGAAACUGGGUCUAAUACCGGAUAGGACCAUGGUUUAGUGUCUCAUGGUGGAAAAAUUAUUGUUUUGGUGCAGGAUGAGCUCGCGGCCUAUCAGCUUGUUGGUGGGGUAAUGGCCUACCAAGGCGUCGACGGGUAGCCGGCCUGAGAGGGUGGACGGCCACAUUGGGACUGAGAUACGGCCCAGACUCCUACGGGAGGAAGCAGUGGGGAAUAUUGAACAAUGGGCGCAAGCCUGAUGCAGCGACGCCGCGUGGGGGAUGACGGCCUUCGGGUAGUAAACUCCUUUCGUUAGGGACGAAGCCGCACCUUUUUUGGGUGUGGUGACGGUACCUUUGUUAAGAAGCACCGGCUAACUACGUG